Jaculus jaculus (lesser Egyptian jerboa) is the source of this 129-nucleotide small nucleolar RNA. NCBI's taxonomy places the organism in Eukaryota, Metazoa, Chordata, Mammalia, Rodentia, Dipodidae. The record is from Ensembl.
AGACUUCUGGUGCUUACCACAGGCUGUGUUCUUACACUGCCUGUGCAGAGAGAGGAAGCAGAGUAAACCUACCACAUGCACACCUCAACUGAGGCCGUGUCUGGUCUGCAUUGGAAUUUAGAUUAAAAA